Molecule: ribosomal RNA, 903 nt
Filed under: uncultured bacterium
Lineage: Bacteria
Description: bacterial SSU rRNA
Rfam family: Bacterial small subunit ribosomal RNA
Source: RNAcentral
AGAGUUUGAUCCUGGCUCAGGAUGAACGCUGGCGGCGUGCUUAACACAUGCAAGUCGAGCGAAGCACUUAAGUUUGAUUCUUCGGAUGAAGACUUUUGUGACUGAGCGGCGGACGGGUGAGUAACGCGUGGGUAACCUGCCUCAUACAGGGGGAUAACAGUUAGAAAUGACUGCUAAUACCGCAUAAGACCACGGUACCGCAUGGUACAGUGGUAAAAACUCCGGUGGUAUGAGAUGGACCCGCGUCUGAUUAGGUAGUUGGUGGGGUAACGGCCUACCAAGCCGACGAUCAGUAGCCGACCUGAGAGGGUGACCGGCCACAUUGGGACUGAGGCACGGCCCAGACUCCUACGGGAGGCAGCAGUGGGGAAUAUUGCACAAUGGAGGAAACUCUGAUGCAGCGACGCCGCGUGAAGGAUGAAGUAUUUCGGUAUGUAAACUUCUAUCAGCAGGGAAGAAAAUGACGGUACCUGACUAAGAAGCCCCGGCUAACUACGUGCCAGCAGCCGCGGUAAUACGUAGGGGGCAAGCGUUAUCCGGAUUUACUGGGUGUAAAGGGAGCGUAGACGGCACGGCAAGCCAGAUGUGAAAGCCCGGGGCUCAACCCCGGGACUGCAUUUGGAACUGCUGAGCUAGAGUGUCGGAGAGGCAAGUGGAAUUCCUAGUGUAGCGGAGAAAUGCGUAGAUAUUAGGAGGAACACCAGUGGCGAAGGCGGCUUGCUGGACGAUGACUGACGUUGAGGCUCGAAAGCGUGGGGAGCAAACAGGAUUAGAUACCCUGGUAGUCCACGCCGUAAACGAUGACUGCUAGGUGUCGGGUGGCAAAGCCAUUCGGUGCCGCAGCUAACGCAAUAAGCAGUCCACCUGGGGAGUACGUUCGCAAGAAUGAAACUCAAAGGAAUU